Anolis carolinensis (green anole) is the source of this 2503-nucleotide long non-coding RNA. The record is from Ensembl. NCBI's taxonomy places the organism in Eukaryota, Metazoa, Chordata, Lepidosauria, Squamata, Anolidae.
AUGACCAAAAUGGUCAAAGGCCUGGAAAUCAUGAAUCUCUUUGAAGAAUGGCUUAGGGAACUGUAUAUGUUCAACCUGAAGAAGAGAAAGUUAAUAGGGGGACAUGAGAACCAGGUUAAAAUAUUUGAAAGAAUGUCACUUGUCAAAGGGGGAAACUUACUUUAUGCCUCUCUAGAGAUUAGGACCCAGAGCAGUGGAUUCAAACGGCAGGGAGAAAUAUUCCAACUCAACAUUAGGAAAAGCUUCCUGACAGUAAGAGGUGAUCAACUUUGGAAUAUAUUCUACCUGGGAGUCCAGUGGAGUCUCUGCCCUUCUCUGGAGGUUUUAAGCAGAGGCUGGAUGGACAUCUGUCGGGAGGGCUUUGAUUGUGUGUUCCUACAUGGAAGAAUGGGGUUGGACUAGAUAGCCCUUGGGGUAUCUUCCAGCUCUAGAAUUCUAUGAUUCAGUCCAUCUGAUUCCUGGAGGCAGCACAAGAAGAAUAAUAUAAUCAGGGACACAUUUGCAAAAAUUUUUUUACAAAUAAUGUAUUUGCUGGUUCACACAAGUCGCCUUUUCCCACUGCCCUCUGUGAUGAUCACUCAUUUGCAAAUCCAAAUGAAUCUAAAUGUCCCUGGGGAUAUUUUCUGGUGUAAAUAAAUAACUCGUCAUAUUCAGGACAUCUCUGCCUCUUGCAGCACUUUAUGCUCGACGCUGUUUCAUGGGCACACUUCAAUAAGGGCAUCCGGAAACUCAUCGCCGGAUCAGGAGUGUUUUGACGGAGAUGGAGAUUAAACAUUAAAUAAAGGAAGAUUCAGUCUGCCAGGAUGGGAAGGAAACCAAGCCAUUUGUCAGCCUGUUCUCUCAGGUCUUGAGGGCGGGAAGGAGGGAGCCACAAUGUUAUGAAACGAGGAGAUGCACUCGCUCGGUUUUGUUCUUAUCAGGGCUGGUUAAAUGAAGGCAAUUCCUCAUGCCCUCUUUGCAGAAUCCUCAGAGGAGCCUUAGGUGCAGAAAUCAUAUCUUUGCAUGCCCCUCAAGGCUUCAAAGCUGCUCUCUCUGUAAUGGAGCUAAUGCCUGCACCCCAAAGCAACAGCAAAGCUUCUGCUGCAUUCACGGGUUGGUUUGCAAUCACUCAUUAGUCCUCACACCUUGGGGCUGGUUGAAUUACCUAUGAAUUGGAUACAGAAACUGCACAUCCCCAUCUCCCCAUGUACAGAAGAGCAUUGUUGCUGCUAACUGCCAUCAAGUCAACUUCAGCAGAAAAAAUGACCACAAACUUAACAUCAGUCAACAGUGUAACUUGGCAUCAAUAGGAGUAGCCAUAGUCCCACUUCUGCCAAAAUCAGCCAAAAUCUGGAAGUUAUUAUUCUCCAUGAAGAGCAACUUAGUAAAUGUUUUGCUGGAAAUAAGAAGGUAAAGAGUGGACAUAAUAAUCAAGUUUAAAUAUUUGAGAUUUUAUAUCUUUAAUGAUACGAGCUAGAAGGGAACAUGUAGACCUCCUUCCCCUAAUUAUUUGGUGACACACAUUUUUUAACAGGAACAGAUAUCCACUUUUCCACAGCCAAAUGACAGAUGAGGAACAAGAAGGCCCCAGUGAAGAUUAAAGCUGUUUGUACAACUGAAGCAAACAGAACAAUGAAGAUAAAAAUAAUUCCAGUGAAGUGUAUGUGAGAGUAAUUCAUGUUUCCCCCCUAUAUGUAGUCAAUACUCCCUGCAUAGAGUCAGGUAUCCCUUUUCCUGGAAGACAACAGCUACUGCGCAGAAAUCCUUCCUCUCCUGCUGAAACCUAUUCCAUUGGAUGCCUGAGCAUCUUGGGGAGAAAGGGAUCCAGCUCCCAGCCACCUUCAAGUACCACAAAUGAGACAUAAUAAUAAUAAUAAUAAUAAUAAUAAUAAUAAUAAUAAUCUUGUAUAAAGAAUCAGUACAAGAAAACCACACUACAAACUAGAGCUGACAGCUGGCACAACAAAACAUUGCAUGGAAAGUUCCUUGACAAAAUUGAAGGAAAAGCUGAUAAGAAGAAGACCUGGCCAUGGCUCACGAAUGGGACCCUGAAGAAGGAGACAGAAGGCCUGAUCCUUGCAGCCCAGGAGCAAGCCAUCAGAACAAAGGCAAUUCAGGCCAAGAUCGAAAAAUCAGCUGAGGACCCAAAAUGCAGAUUGUGCAAGGAAACCGACGAAACCAUUGAUCAUAUCCUCAGCUGCUGUAAGAAAAUUGCACAGACUGACUACAAACAGAGGCAAACAGAGGCACAACUAUGUGGCCCAAGUGAUUCAUUGGAACUUAUGCCUCAAGUACCACCUCCCAGCAGUAAAGAACUGGUGGGAUCACAAACCUGCAAAAGUAUUGGAAAAUGAGUACGCAAAGAUACUGUGGGACUUCCAAAUCCAGACUGACAAAGUUCUGGAACACAACACACCAGACCUCACAGUUGUGGAAAAGAAAAAGGUUUGGAUCAUUGAUGUCGCCAUCCCAGGUGAUAGUUGCAUUGACGAAAAACAACAGGAAAAAGUCAGCCGCUAUCAGG